RNAcentral lists this ribosomal RNA (491 nucleotides) under uncultured bacterium. RNAcentral describes it as "bacterial SSU rRNA". It matches the Rfam family "Bacterial small subunit ribosomal RNA", at positions 28 to 507 of the family's 1533-position model. The record is from RNAcentral.
GACGAACGCUGGCGGCGUGCCUGACACAUGCAAGUCGGACGGUUCUUGUAUCUUCAAGCUUGCUUGCAGGUGCAAGGAUAGUGGCGGACGGGUGAGUAACGCGUGAACAUCUACCCAUUGGAGGGGGACAACCCGUCGAAAGGCGGGCUAAUACCGCGUAAGCCGCGAGGUGAGAGGCUGCCUAUUGGUGGCCGCCGAUGGAUGGGUUCGCGUCCUAUCAGCUGGUUGGUGGGGUAACGGCCUACCAAGGCGAAGACGGGUAGCCGGUCUGAGAGGAUGGCCGGCCACACUGGAACUGAGACACGGUCCAGACUCCUACGGGAGGCAGCAGUGGGGAAUAUUGGGCAAUGGGGGAGACCCUGACCCAGCGACGCCGCGUGAGGGAUGAAGGCCCUCGGGUUGUAAACUGCUUUUGUACGGAACGAAAAGGCUCUUGCUAAUACCAGGAGUCCAUGACGGUACCGUAAGAAUAAGCACCGGCUAACUACGUG